AAAGGGGGGUGAAGAGAGAAACUUGGGAGCAAGGCUCUAUGGGGGGGUCCCCUCCUUGGAGAUUUAUUGUCAUGCAUAGGCUGAUGACCAGCAGCUGACAGACAGAGGCAGCUGAGAGAGCCAGCCUUGUGGCCCAAGGCUGGCAUUGGAGUGGACCCUGAAUGAUGGCUCUUCUCUCCGACGCUCCAGUGAUCCUGAGAGUGAAGAAGUGGAGCAUGCUCGGAACUUGGUGGACUUGUGGAAGUCUGAGGAAACUCAGAUUCUUGGCCUCUCCAGUGUGAGGCAGCCAUGGCUGAACUACCUGGACCACACCCUAAGCCAAUCUAAUAAAUCCUCCUUUAAUAUC
RNAcentral lists this long non-coding RNA (346 nucleotides) under Mus spretus (western wild mouse). RNAcentral's name for it is "lncRNA (ENSMSPG00010048013.1)". The record is from RNAcentral. Lineage: Eukaryota; Metazoa; Chordata; Mammalia; Rodentia; Muridae.